Molecule: signal recognition particle RNA, 242 nt
Filed under: Desulfobacteraceae bacterium
Lineage: Bacteria; Pseudomonadati; Thermodesulfobacteriota; Desulfobacteria; Desulfobacterales; Desulfobacteraceae
Description: signal recognition particle sRNA large type
Rfam family: Bacterial large signal recognition particle RNA
About the family: The signal recognition particle (SRP) is a universally conserved ribonucleoprotein involved in the co-translational targeting of proteins to membranes.
Source: RNAcentral
UUGUGCUAGGUGGGGAGCUAGCGGUGCCCUAUUCCCGAAAUCCGCUUUAUGCGGGGCUGAAUUCCCUUCCGAGGAUUACGCCGAAAGCAGUGCAGUCUGCCGACCGGCCGCCGCGCAACAAACGGUCGCGAACCUCGUCAGGUCCGGAAGGAAGCAGCGAUAAGUGAUGCGGUUUGUGUCGCGGAUCGAUUCCGGUUUAUGCGGGCUGACCUGCCCAGGCCGAUUCGAAGAAGGGUGCACAA